RNAcentral lists this small RNA (626 nucleotides) under Pongo abelii (Sumatran orangutan). RNAcentral describes it as "retained intron". Lineage: Eukaryota; Metazoa; Chordata; Mammalia; Primates; Hominidae. The record is from RNAcentral.
AUGGUUUUUCGUACUGGAACUCAAAGGUAAAGACACUCAAGGACAGACAUUUUUGGCAGAGGUAAGAUCUUCUUUGGUCACCAUACUUGAGUUAGCCCUGGGGAAGUGGACAUUUCCAUGCAGAAUCCUAAAGCUUCUUCCAUCCCAUAGUGUCUGUCCCACACCUUCUGGUAUCUCUUGAUAUGCAGGAGAGAUGAAAAUGGCAAGUUCCCUGGCCUUCCUUCUGCUCAACUUUCAUGUCUCCGUCUUCUUGGUCCAGCUGCUCACUCCUUGCUCAGCUCAGUUUUCUGUGCUUGGACCCUCUGGGCCCAUCCUGACCAUGGUGGGUGAAGACGCUGAUCUGCCCUGUCACCUGUUCCCGACCAUGAGUGCAGAGACCAUGGAGCUGAGGUGGGUGAGUUCCAGCCUAAGGCAGGUGGUGAACGUGUAUGCAGAUGGAAAGGAAGUGGAAGACAGGCAGAGUGCACCAUAUCGAGGGAGAACUUCAAUUCUACGGGAUGGCAUCACUGCAGGGAAGGCUGCUCUCCGAAUACACAACGUCACAGCCUCUGACAGUGGAAAGUACUUGUGUUAUUUCCAAGAUGGUGACUUCUAUGAAAAAGCCCUGGUGGAGCUGAAGGUUGCAG